Long non-coding RNA from Microtus oregoni (creeping vole), 242 nucleotides. RefSeq lists it as uncharacterized. The record is from RefSeq and is a predicted model, not a curated record. NCBI's taxonomy places the organism in Eukaryota, Metazoa, Chordata, Mammalia, Rodentia, Cricetidae. The transcript is spliced from 3 exons.
UCUAGAGUUCGGGUAGACAAAGGGGACGGAGGUCUGCAUUGCACAAAAGCCAUGGCUGUUAGGAAGCAUGGGCCAGCUUCAUGGAGGAUGAACACAUGUGACCAAAUCUCUCGUCUGCUCCAGAGAGCAGAAUGCCUGCCUGUUCUGGAAGAUAAAUCUCACCUCUAAUCCAGUGCACAGCAACGUCUUGGGCAAAGGCAAGGGAGCCCUGAUACCGCGGAUGACAUCCAUAUAAAUCACAG